GACGAAGGUGGCAAGCGUUGUUCGGAAUCACUGGGCAUAAAGCGCACGUAGGCGGCUUUGUAAGUCAGGUGUGAAAGCCCUCGGCUCAACCGAGGAACUGCGCCUGAUACUGCGAGGCUUGAGGUCCGGAGGGGAGAGUGGAAUUCCCGGUGGAGCGGUGAAAUGCGUAGAGAUCGGGAAGAACGCCGGCGGCGAAAGCGACUCUCUGGACCGGAACUGACGCUGAGGCGCGAAAGCGUGGGGAGCAAACAGG
Molecule: ribosomal RNA, 253 nt
Filed under: uncultured bacterium
Lineage: Bacteria
Description: partial 16S ribosomal RNA
Rfam family: Bacterial small subunit ribosomal RNA
Source: RNAcentral